GCGUCGGCCGAGCAGUGCUUCACGAACUGCUGCUGCCACUCGCCGGCGGAGCGGCUCGCCUGGGCGCGGGCCCGGGGGUGCGAAGCCUCCGUCCGCGCG
This 99-nucleotide transfer RNA is filed under the name Planctomycetia bacterium. RNAcentral's name for it is "tRNA-Arg". The record is from RNAcentral. Lineage: Bacteria; Pseudomonadati; Planctomycetota; Planctomycetia.